UGAGACUUAAAGUCUCCUGAAGGAACGUUGAAGACGACGACGUUGAUAGGUCGGGUGUGUAAGCGCAGCGAUGCGUUGAGCUAACCGAUACUAAUGAACCGUGAGGCUUAACCUUACAACGCCGAAGGUGUUU
Molecule: ribosomal RNA, 133 nt
Filed under: Enterobacter cloacae
Lineage: Bacteria; Pseudomonadati; Pseudomonadota; Gammaproteobacteria; Enterobacterales; Enterobacteriaceae
Description: partial 23S ribosomal RNA
Rfam family: Bacterial large subunit ribosomal RNA (bases 1-115)
Source: RNAcentral